Molecule: ribosomal RNA, 471 nt
Filed under: uncultured bacterium
Lineage: Bacteria
Description: partial 16S ribosomal RNA
Rfam family: Bacterial small subunit ribosomal RNA
Source: RNAcentral
ACGAACGCUGGCGGCGUGCUUAACACAUGCAAGUCGAACGCUGAAGCUUGGUGCUUGCACUGGGUGGAUGAGUGGCGAACGGGUGAGUAAUACGUGAGUAACCUGCCCUUGACUCUGGGAUAAGCCUGGGAAACUGGGUCUAAUACUGGAUACGACAUGUCACCGCAUGGUGGUGUGUGGAAAGGGUUUUACUGGUUUUGGAUGGGCUCACGGCCUAUCAGCUUGUUGGUGGGGUAAUGGCUCACCAAGGCGACGACGGGUAGCCGGCCUGAGAGGGUGACCGGCCACACUGGGACUGAGGCACGGCCCAGACUCCUACGGGAGGCAGCAGUGGGGAAUAUUGCACAAUGGGCGGAAGCCUGAUGCAGCGACGCCGCGUGAGGGAUGACGGCCUUCGGGUUGUAAACCUCUUUCAGCACGGAAGAAGCGAAAGUGACGGUACGUGCAGAAGAAGCGCCGGCUAACUACGUG